Molecule: long non-coding RNA, 3441 nt
Filed under: Sus scrofa (pig)
Lineage: Eukaryota; Metazoa; Chordata; Mammalia; Artiodactyla; Suidae
Description: lncRNA (ENSSSCG00025015127.1)
Source: RNAcentral
UUUUUUUUUUUUUUCCCUUUAUAGGACCACACCCAUGGCAUAUGGAAAUUCCCAGGCUAGGGGUCAAAUCAGAACUACAGCUGCCAGACUGUGCCACAGCCAUAGCAAUACCAGCUUCAGGCCACAUCUACAGUUCAUGGCAACGCCAGAUCCUUAACCCACUGAGCAGGGCCAAGGAUUGAACCCGAGUUCUCAUGGAUAUUAGUCGGGUUCAUUACUGCUAAGCCACAAUGGGGACUCCAAGAUUAAAUAUGAUAAUGCAUGUAAGGCAUUUCACAUAAUGCUUGGUACAUGGUAAGGGCUAGUAGCCAUUCAGUGAAAAUCAUGGUAUUGAUGCUUAUAGUUCCCAAUGAAAUGUCCUGGCUUUUACAUGUGAAUGCCGAGAUGGCUGUCUCUCUUGGUAAGUCUUUGAUAUUUUAAUGCACUCAUUCAUUCAUUCAUUCAAUAGGUAUUUAUUUCAUCCUGACUACAUACCAGGCAUUGUUCUAGGCACUGAGGAUACAGCAGAGAAUAGAAAACUAUUCUCCUAGAGCUUACAUUCAAGUAGGGAGAAAGGUUAAAUUAGAAUGACAGGGAGUUGCCAUUACAGCACAGAGGAAACAGAUCCAGCUAGUAUCCAGGAGGAUACAGGUUUGACCUCUGGCCUUGCUCAGUGGGUCAGGGAUCUGGCAUUUCCAGUAAGGUGUGGUGUAGGUCGCAGAUGCAGGUCAGAUCCCCAGUUGCUGUGACUGUGACAUAGCUGCAGCUCUGAUUUGACCCCUCGCCUGGGAACUUCCAUAUGUCUCAGGUUCAGCCCUAAAAACCAAAAAAUAAAAUAAAAUAAAAAAUUUUUUAAAAAUGGCAAAGUGAAUCACAGGGUAUGCUAGGAAAGGGGAUAGGAAUUGUUUGGAAAGUGGAGGAAGAGAUUAAAAUUUUAGGUAAGAUAUCUCAGGAAGUCUCUAUUGCGAAUGUGACAUUUAAGACCAGAUUUCACUACGUAUACCCUGCAGAUAGAGCAAUCCAGAGGGAGUGAGUAGCAAGUGUGAAGGCACUGAAUCAGGAACACACCUGGAGUGUUCCAGGACUAACAUGUAGGCUAGACAGACUGGAGGAGGUUGGGGAAGGGAUGAAGAUAGGGGUGAGUGGUUGGCUGGUGACUUGAUGAUGAGAGCCUUGUAGAGAUUUUGUUUUUAUUUGGCGUGAGAUGAGAAACCAUUAGAUAUGGUUGCUUUGAGACAUUUCAUCUUGAAGAGUGUUUGGUGGUUUCUAUAGUGAAAUAGCUGCAUUUAAUACCAGGUGAGACUCAUCAUUAUCUCAGCUUGCCAAAUUGAUAGUCAGAGGACCUGGUUUUGGAAAAUAAUACAGGAAAGAGGUUCAAGUAAAAUCUACAAAGAUUUAGUGAUUAUUUCUGGUAUUGCAUUUUUCAUCAUUCAUGGACGGAUAGCCAAUUACGGAAGAUGCUGGGAAUCAGAGGAAAUCACCACUACCCAACAAGAAGAAUUUCGGGGGUGUGUAAUUAACCAGGAUCAAAUUGAGGCUUUAGCAAGGAAGAAAUGAACAGACACUACCAAAAAAAAAAAAAAAAAAAAAGAUAUAGUUGCUUUGUAUGCUUCAAAAUAAUUUUUUAAAAAUUUAUUUUAUUUUUUUAAUUGUUAUUUCCCAAUACAAUUUUUUUUUCUACUAUACAGCAUGGUGACCUAGUUACACAUACUUUUUUCUCACGUUAUCAUGCUCCAUUAUAAGUGACUAGACAGAGUUCCCAGUGCUACACAGCAGGAUCUCAUUGCUAAUCCAUUUCAAAGGCAAUAGUCUGCAUCUAUUAAUCCCAAAUUCCCAAUCCAUCCUGCUCCCGAUAUCACUUAUAUGUAAAAAUUUAUUUUAUUGAAGUAGAGUUGAGUUACAAUGUUGUAUUAGUUUCUGUUGUAUUGAAAAGUUAUACAUAUAUGUUCUUUUUCAUACUCUUUUCCAUUUCGGUUUAUUACAGGGUAUUGAAUAUAGUUGGCUGUGCUAUACAGUACUAUCUUGUUUAUCCAUUCUAUGUAUAAUAGUUUGCAUCUGAUAUCCCAAACUCCCAAUCCAACCCUCCCCCAUAAAAUAUUUUCUGAUAGGAAACCAUGGAAAAAGGAAUAGGCAAUGUAAGCACGUAUAUCUAGACUGUUGACUAUAAGCUAAGAUGGAGAAGGGGAAAUUUUUGCUUCUUCUUGUUGACAGGGCUUAUCCAGCCAAGUUCCAAAUCUUGCUAAUUUGGGAAUUCCAUCUUAUAUCCACUGAAAGACCUAACUUGGCUGAAGACACAAGUUCAGGUUUAGUAAAGAGAGCUGAUGGCAAAAAUCUGGCAUUCUUACCCAAGGAAAUGGGUUUGUUUUAUUCUGUUUGAGUGUGUGAUAUCCAUUGUCAUGAGUGCAAAACUCUCCUUAGAACAUAAAACUUAACACUCCUUUUUCUGUACAAGCAACAAGGUGUUUAAAGCAUUCAUGAAAGGUAUGUCCAUUUAUCUUUCUCCUUAAGAUUAUUGGAAAAUGAAGUAUUGGAGUGAGAAAAUGAGACAACAGCUAGAAGUAUAGUGUGAGAAGGGUUGAAGGCACUCUCAAUUGUAGCUUAUUUUCAUGGCUGCAGAGUGUUGAGACAAAUCAUUGAAACAAAUUUCCCUGUCUCUUGGGGGACUGGGAAUUCUUGUCUUUUGGAUUCUUGGUAAGAUUCUAUCAGUGGCAUGCAUUUCUCAAUAGUCUUUUCUUCCAGUAUUCUGACUCAGAUUUAAGGUGUUUCUUUUAAGCAUGUCAACAAGUAUAAACACAUGCUUGAAUGUUUUUUUCUCCUUGAGUCCAAGUUGAUAUUAAUCAGAAUUCAUUUCAGAUAAAAAUCUCAACAGGCACUUGAACUCAAAGGUGAGAGUGCAUUCCAUUCUGUUCUUAUUUUAUGGAGCAAUUCUCCUGCCAGCUCUGGCUUGGCAACUUGACUCUCCUGCAAAGACUGGUUCUCAGGAGUAUCUACAGAAUGAGGAACAUCUCUGAGCCCCCUCUUGAAGGCAGGAGGGAUAGACUGCUUGAGGUUUCAUAAGGUUUGCAACAUUCGAGGCAAUUCUGUGGAUCUCAAACUUUUUUUUUUUUUUUUUUUGGCCUCGCACAUGGAUGUUCCUGGGGCCAGGGAUCAAACCUGAGCCACAGCAGUGACAAUGCUGAGUCCUUAACGGCUAGGCCACCAGGGAACUCUGAUUUCAAACUUUUAAAACAUCAUUCUGUAUUUUAUAAAAAUGAAAUUGUUUCCAAUUCUGCCUCCUGCUAUUCAUUUCAGAGUUAUCACAGCAGGAUUUGCUAAAGGACCGAAGACAACUGCUAACCCUUUAAAAGGCAGUUUUUCUGUAUAAACGGUCACACAGGCGGAUUGCUUGGGACUGCAUUUAUUCAUUUCCCAACAUUCAUUAUCAUAUUUCAUCUUGGAUUAAUUUCUUGACAAUGCCAGCCC